RNAcentral lists this ribosomal RNA (748 nucleotides) under uncultured bacterium. Its description in RNAcentral is "bacterial SSU rRNA". It matches the Rfam family "Bacterial small subunit ribosomal RNA", at positions 28 to 776 of the family's 1533-position model. The record is from RNAcentral.
GAUGAACGCUGGCGGCGUGCCUAACACAUGCAAGUCGAGCGAAGCACUUUGCUUAGAUUCUUCGGAUGAAGAGGAUUGUGACUGAGCGGCGGACGGGUGAGUAACGCGUGGGUAACCUGCCUCAUACAGGGGGAUAACAGUUAGAAAUGACUGCUAAUACCGCAUAAGACCACAGCACCGCAUGGUGCAGGGGUAAAAACUCCGGUGGUAUGAGAUGGACCCGCGUCUGAUUAGCUAGUUGGUAAGGUAACGGCUUACCAAGGCGACGAUCAGUAGCCGACCUGAGAGGGUGACCGGCCACAUUGGGACUGAGACACGGCCCAAACUCCUACGGGAGGCAGCAGUGGGGAAUAUUGCACAAUGGGGGAAACCCUGAUGCAGCGACGCCGCGUGAGUGAAGAAGUAUUUCGGUAUGUAAAGCUCUAUCAGCAGGGAAGAAAAUGACGGUACCUGACUAAGAAGCACCGGCUAAAUACGUGCCAGCAGCCGCGGUAAUACGUAUGGUGCAAGCGUUAUCCGGAUUUACUGGGUGUAAAGGGAGCGUAGACGGAUGGGCAAGUCUGAUGUGAAAACCCGGGGCUCAACCCCGGGACUGCAUUGGAAACUGUUCAUCCAGAGUGCUGGAGAGGUAAGUGGAAUUCCUAGUGUAGCGGUGAAAUGCGUAGAUAUUAGGAGGAACACCAGUGGCGAAGGCGGCUUACUGGACAGUAACUGACGUUGAGGCUCGAAAGCGUGGGGAGCAAACAGG